Molecule: non-coding RNA, 73 nt
Organism: Heliconius melpomene (postman butterfly)
Lineage: Eukaryota; Metazoa; Arthropoda; Insecta; Lepidoptera; Nymphalidae
Source: Rfam
UCAUGUUCCUAAGUACUAGUGCCGCAGGAGUGACUUUCCGAUAUCUCCUGCUGCUUAAGUGCUUAUCAAUAGA